AGAGUUUGAUCCUGGCUCAGAGUGAACGCUGGCGGCGUGCUUAACACAUGCAAGUCGAACGAGAACGGGUCUUAGCUUGCUAAGAUUGUCAGCUAAGUGGCGCACGGGUGAGUAAUAUAUAGGUAACGUGCCUUCAAGAAGGGGAUAACAAUUGGAAACGAUUGCUAAUACCCUAUAUGCCUUUAAGACAUAAGUGUGCAAGGGAAAUAUUUAUAGCUUUAAGAUCGGCCUGUACGGUAUCAGUUAGUUGGUGAGGUAAUGGCUCACCAAGACAAUGACGCUUAACUGGUUUGAGAGGAUGAUCAGUCACACUGGAACUGAGACACGGUCCAGACUCCUACGGGAGGCAGCAGUGGGGAAUAUUGCNCAAUGGACGAAAGUCUGAUGCAGCAACGCCGCGUGGAGGAUGACACAUUUCGGUGCGUANACUCCUUUUAUAUAGGAAGAUAAUGACGGUACUAUAUGAAUAAGCNCCGGCUAACUCUG
RNAcentral lists this ribosomal RNA (486 nucleotides) under uncultured Campylobacterota bacterium. RNAcentral describes it as "bacterial SSU rRNA". It matches the Rfam family "Bacterial small subunit ribosomal RNA", at positions 8 to 505 of the family's 1533-position model. Lineage: Bacteria; Pseudomonadati; Campylobacterota. The record is from RNAcentral.